GGGGGCGUAGUUUAAUGGUAGAAUAGCGGUCUCCAAAACCGCAGACGGAGGUUCGAUUCCUUCCGCCCCUGCCA
This 74-nucleotide transfer RNA is filed under the name Candidatus Peregrinibacteria bacterium. RNAcentral's name for it is "tRNA-Trp". It matches the Rfam family "tRNA". From Rfam's summary of the family: Transfer RNA (tRNA) molecules are approximately 80 nucleotides in length. The record is from RNAcentral. Lineage: Bacteria; Candidatus Peregrinibacteriota.